Long non-coding RNA from Mobula hypostoma (lesser devil ray), 773 nucleotides. RefSeq lists it as uncharacterized. The record is from RefSeq and is a predicted model, not a curated record. NCBI's taxonomy places the organism in Eukaryota, Metazoa, Chordata, Chondrichthyes, Myliobatiformes, Myliobatidae. The transcript has 3 exons.
CGCGACUGUCCCGGUGUGACCGUGUUCUGUGCGGCGCAUUCCCGGGAGAGGUCCGAAGUCCAGAUGAAGCCCAAAGGUCAAUUGGAAGUCUUAAUCAAAGCCUGAAGGUUGAUUGGAAGUCCAAAUCAAAGCCCAAAAGUCAAUCAGAGGUCUAGAUCAAAGCUCAGGGGUCUAUCAGAAGCCCAGAAAUUGAGGCCUGAUGGCCUGAACAUGGGGCUGUGUAUCUCUGCGAGCAUGUUGGGGAAGUUGGAUCCUCGUGGCUGCAUAUCCACAAGUCCUCUGAAGGCCAAGGAAGACAUCCUGUCCUGGGGUUAGAGGACUGUGUAUGCAUAUGGAUGGCAUGGAUGCAGGAAAUCCAAAGCACAAGAGAUUCUGCAGAUGCUAGAAACCCAGAACAACGCACACAGAAUUCUGGAGAAGGUCAGCAGGUCAGGCAGCAUCCAUGGAGAGGAAUAAACAGCUGAAUAAGUGAAUUGCAAGUGGCAUAAAUGUACUUCAAUUUACUUUGAACUUUGAAAUGCCGGAGGAACUCAGUUCAACCUGUAUCCGCCAGUCUGUUUUAUUUUAAAUCAAAAUAAAUUUUAUUCAAAUGUUUUUUAAAAAUUUACACGGAUUAACUGGUCAAUGCCUUUUCAUUGGUUCUUGGUUCUUGAUCCUCCAAAAUAUUCCACAUGGAAUUUAAACUGGAGGUGGCGGAGGGUGGGUUUAAGAAGGACAUGUGUAAUCUGGGGAGAACGUAGAAAUCCCAUUAACCCACCCCGUCACCACUACUU